AGAACGAACGCUGGCGGCAUGCCUAAUACAUGCAAGUCGAACGAACUCUUCGGAGUUAGUGGCGCACGGGUGCGUAACGCGUGGGAAUCUGCCCUUGGGUUCGGAAUAACAGUUGGAAACGACUGCUAAUACCGGAUGAUGACGAAAGUCCAAAGAUUUAUCGCCCAGGGAUGAGCCCGCGUAGGAUUAGCUAGUUGGUGAGGUAAAGGCUCACCAAGGCGACGAUCCUUAGCUGGUCUGAGAGGAUGAUCAGCCACACUGGGACUGAGACACGGCCCAGACUCCUACGGGAGGCAGCAGUAGGGAAUAUUGGACAAUGGGCAAAGGCCUGAUCCAGCAAUGACCGCGUGAGUGAUGAAGGCCUUAGGUUGUAAAGCUCUUUUUACCCGAGAUGAUAAUAGACAGGUAUACGGGAGAAUAAGACCCCGGACUAACUCCGUAGCCACCAGACCGC
Molecule: ribosomal RNA, 454 nt
Filed under: uncultured soil bacterium
Lineage: Bacteria
Description: bacterial SSU rRNA
Rfam family: Bacterial small subunit ribosomal RNA
Source: RNAcentral